AGGCUUACACAUGCAAGUCCAAGGUGAAGCGGGGCUUCGGCCCCGUGGAAACUGGCGCACGGGUGAGUAACGCGUGGGAAUCUACCCCGGGGUGGGGAAUAACCGCUGGAAACGGCGGCUAAUACCGCAUACGCCUUGCGAGGGAAAGCUUUAGCGCCCUGGGACGAGCCCGCGUCGGAUUAGCUUGUUGGUGAGGUAACGGCUCACCAAGGCAUCGAUCCGUAGCUGGUCUGAGAGGAUGAUCAGCCACACUGGGACUGAGACACGGCCCAGACUCCUACGGGAGGCAGCAGUGGGGAAUAUUGGACAAUGGGGGCAACCCUGAUCCAGCCAUGCCGCGUGCGUGAAGAA
Molecule: ribosomal RNA, 351 nt
Filed under: uncultured Alphaproteobacteria bacterium
Lineage: Bacteria; Pseudomonadati; Pseudomonadota; Alphaproteobacteria
Description: bacterial SSU rRNA
Rfam family: Bacterial small subunit ribosomal RNA
Source: RNAcentral